This is a long non-coding RNA of Apis cerana (Asiatic honeybee), 639 nucleotides long. RefSeq lists it as uncharacterized. NCBI's taxonomy places the organism in Eukaryota, Metazoa, Arthropoda, Insecta, Hymenoptera, Apidae. The record is from RefSeq and is a predicted model, not a curated record.
GAUAAAAAGAGAGAAAGAGAAAACGAGAGAAAAAGAAAGAUAGUUGUAUCAACGAAAUUGCACAUAGAUGAAAGACAAAGAGAAGAAGAGUCACGUUGGGUUGUAUCACUGAUUCUGGCUGAUGGAAAGAUGGCGGAGGGCGGAGCGGCAUCUAGACUAACUUGUACCGGGUGGUACCGCAUCACUGUCAGCAAAAACCGCAUAAAACGGCACCAUUCGCUUCUCUGGUGUACCGAUACAGGAGGGGAUUCUAGUUGCUCGUGGGGCAGGACGGAAGUUCAAGGCAGUCUCGGCGCCACAGGGACGCAUGAGAAGCUCCAUGCUGAUGAUGAUGUGCACGCCAUAUACACUUUCAGUUUAAUCGGAUGACCGUUCUUCUGUAUAUUUUUUAUGUUCUUAACUAUCCUAAUUUGCUUGAAAUAUAUCUUUAUUUCUGAUAAAUAAAUUUUUAUUGUCCUUAUAUUAAAAUUAAUUUUUAAAUUUACUUACUUAUAUAUUUAUUGAAAGAAUUAAGAAUUAUCACGCUUUAAUUAUUGUUUAAAUAGAGAAUUUAUAAAAGAUAUAAUAUUGAUCUUUUUUGUAUUUGAGAAUUGGAUUUAAAAAAAAUAUAUAAUGUUCCACAAAAAAAAAAUAAUAAAA